GACGAACGCUGGCGGCGUGCCUAAUACAUGCAAGUCGAACGAGAGCGACCGGUGCUUGCACUGGUCAAUCUAGUGGCGAACGGGUGAGUAACACGUGGGUAACCUGCCCAUCAGAGGGGGAUAACAUCCGGAAACGGAUGCUAAAACCGCAUAGGUCUUCGAACCGCAUGGUUUGAAGAGGAAAAGAGGCGCAAGCUUCUGCUGAUGGAUGGACCCGCGGUGCAUUAGCUAGUUGGUGAGGUAACGACUCACCAAGGCCGUGAUGCAUAGCCGACCUGAGAGGGUGAUCGGCCACAUUGGGACUGAGACACGGCCCAAACUCCUACGGGAGGCAGCAGUAGGGAAUCUUCCGCAAUGGACGCAAGUCCGACGGAGCAACGCCGCGUGAGUGAAGAAGGUUUUCGGAUCGUAAAACUCUGUUGUUAGAGAAGAACAAGUGCUAGAGUAACUGUUAGCGCCUUGACGGUAUCUAACCAGAAAGCCACGGCUAACUACGUG
RNAcentral lists this ribosomal RNA (498 nucleotides) under uncultured bacterium. Its description in RNAcentral is "partial 16S ribosomal RNA". It matches the Rfam family "Bacterial small subunit ribosomal RNA", at positions 28 to 507 of the family's 1533-position model. The record is from RNAcentral.